RNAcentral lists this unclassified non-coding RNA (371 nucleotides) under Hevea brasiliensis (rubber tree). The record is from RNAcentral. Lineage: Eukaryota; Viridiplantae; Streptophyta; Magnoliopsida; Malpighiales; Euphorbiaceae.
UAAAUUGGCUAAGAUUGGUUCCCACAGCAAUGGAGCAAGAGAGAAUUAUGAAAACGGUAGAGGCUAAAUUGUAGUCAAAUUGGUCUACCCUUUUGCUUGUCAACCAGUAGUCGAGAAAGGGUCCGACCAGUAGAAGAGAGCCGGCCUGCGCUGGAGCUGUGUGUCCUAACAGGUUGAAGGAACUCAGCGAAUACUUCCGUUGGAGGAAAUGCACAUAGUAUUGCUGCAGAGAAGUACUCCAUACGGCGAUAACGGCAGCGACAAAGCCUCUGGUAUUAACACUGACAUCAGUUACAGUACAUACUCCAACACCCAAGAGAACAACUGCAAUGCUCAACUUCGUAUCUCUGGAGUAUCGAAUCUUGUCCAAG